CUGACUACUGUGAUAUUAACGUUUUUCUGCGAGCAUAAAUGACAAUUCAUUGAAGCCAUCUACGAGAGCAGGAUUUUCAUUAGUUUUAGAGUUAGCCACAAGAUGGCGUCAAGGCCGACAAAAAUGUAAACAAGCAGACGAUUAAACUACCGAAACAAAAAGCUACUUUUAGUUCAAUCAAGUAAAUCAAAAAUCUUUAAAUUUUUCCCGCUAUGAUCAGCCCGGAGGUAGUAAAUUUUGAUCCGCCAAGAUUUCUGAACCAGGAAUACACUGUGAAAAGAGAUCAAAUAUUGAACAAGGUGCCUUCUGAAGAAUUUGGAAAUCACUUUCAUGGAAUAACUGCAGUUUUGCCCGGUGAAAUACCGGAAAUCGCAGAAAUCCAAGACUUUUUUUUAGAUUCAAUAUUUUACAGAGUUGAAAAAUUCCCCGUUCACAAAUUGUUGGAGCCUGAUUUUCUUUCAGCAUUUAUAAAAAAAGGAAGUCUUGAUGCUCGAACACUUGGGACAUGGUCAGAUGUUGACCAAAGCAUUAUUUUUGAAUCAGGUAAGCUUCACCUUUCUGUCGGGAAAGAUGUUUAUCAAGAAUUGGGAUUAAGUGGACACACAGAAAUAACUUCUUCCAGAAAGCAAACUGCAACAUAUCGUGUGACUAUUGAUGUUCGGGAUGAGAAGUUUAUUCCAGAUUGCAAGUAUUACAAAAGAGUCUUUUGGUGUUUGAAGAAUCAAGUGUGUUUGCAGUUUGACUGGAUUAUGAGUUGGCAACCACAUGAUGUGGACAUAUGCCCUUCCUCCUUUGCUGCUUACCUUGACUUGCUCGGUUUUGGAGUAGCUCAGUGUAAGCCAAUGUUUGAAGAAAGAAUUUUGACUCAAACACAUAUCCCAAUGCUACACCCUGAAACAGAUCUUUUGGAUGUUAUUGAAUGGGUUGGUGCUGCUGCACUGAACAUAACUUGUCCCAAAGAGGAAGACUAUGCAUCAUCCAUGAUUUGCCCAGAGCCCUCUUAUAAGUCAGAAAAGGUUCACAUCUUAAAAUGGAGAGGAUUUUUUCCUUCCUCCCAGGCAAAACAGUUACUUGGUGUGAUUUUAAGGUUGCAUCCAGAAGUAACAGAAACUACUCAGCCUGCUUGGCUUAAUCUCACUUUCCACGGAUUUGACGAAUUCCGAACAGCACCAAAUAUUUGGUCCGUUUUUACAACCACAUCCGACGCAUGCCACGUCUUUACAAGUCAAACAUCAAGAAGAAAAAUCAAGGCCUCCUGUAGUAUUGCACAUUACAGGAUUACUUGGUUUUGCAACGAAGCUUCUUAUCCCUAAGCUUACCAACGUCGAAAAGCAAAGUUGUUUUAUGCUACACUGCAGAUUUAAUUAAGAAAAUUCUUCGCAACUGUUUUUGUAGGCGUUUGGCUUUUUGUCUCUUGUUCGCUCUGCUUUACGACUAGCCUUACAGUCGAGCAACAGCUGGAACAACCAACAGGCACUAAUGCUGAAAUCAACCAAAUGUUGGCUGCAAGGGACACUAGACUGGAAACAUUGGAACGGCAAAAUGUGAAGUACCUUUUGGAUUUUGAUCCUUUAGAUUGUCCUUUUUUUCUCCUGUAAAUAUAGUAUGCAAAUAUUAUGGUUAAUGAUAAGACUACGUUCUAAAUUACAGACGAAAAAGCAAAAAGGUUGAGGUCAUCUAAUUGACGAUGAAGAUGAUGGAACUGGAGCUUAAAAUUCAACAAGAAUCGUUUCUACUCGCCUUGACAGCCUGACUUCUAAAGCCGGCACGAAAAUCGAUUUAGCAUUGGCUGAGAAUAACCUUACCCGACCAGACUGCGACCAAACUCAAUACCGAGAUCCUGCGCGGAUUUCAGAAAUAAUGGUCGUUCUUCAAGCGGAUUGUAUUCGGUAGUCAGAUCCAAAUUCGUGGAAACGGUGAACUGCGAUUUUACAAUGCCAUCAAACGAUGCAAGUAAAUCUAAAUAAAAAAUCUAAAAAUUAA
Molecule: unclassified non-coding RNA, 1983 nt
Filed under: Daphnia magna
Lineage: Eukaryota; Metazoa; Arthropoda; Branchiopoda; Diplostraca; Daphniidae
Description: ribonuclease P protein subunit p40, transcript variant X1
Source: RNAcentral